Molecule: ribosomal RNA, 518 nt
Filed under: uncultured bacterium
Lineage: Bacteria
Description: bacterial SSU rRNA
Rfam family: Bacterial small subunit ribosomal RNA
Source: RNAcentral
GAUGAACGCUAGCGGCGGGCUUAAUACAUGCAAGUUGAACGCUCAGUAGCAAUACUGGGAGUGGCGCACGGGUGCGUAACACGUACACAACCUACCUUUAAGCGGGGGAUACCUCCGGGAAACUGGGAUUAAUACCCCAUAGUAUUAGGAAGUUGCAUGACUUUUUAAUUUAAAACUAACGGUGCUUAAAGAUGGGUGUGCGUCCCAUUAGGUAGUUGGAGUGGUAACGGCACACCAAGCCUACGAUGGGUAGCCGGUCUGAGAGGAUGGACGGCCACACGGGCACUGAGACACGGGCCCGACUCCUACGGGAGGCAGCAGUAAGGAAUAUUGGUCAAUGGUGGGAACACUGAACCAGCCACGCCGCGUGCAGGAAGAAGGUCCUAUGGAUUGUAAACUGCUUUUGCUAAGGAAGAAAUGUUUGUUAUUUAACAGAUUUGACGGUACUUAGAGAAUAAGCACCGGCUAACUCCGUGCCAGCAGCCGCGGUAAUGUCGUCAUGUCUUAGACUGCCAAGG